RNAcentral lists this ribosomal RNA (432 nucleotides) under uncultured bacterium. RNAcentral's name for it is "partial 16S ribosomal RNA". It matches the Rfam family "Bacterial small subunit ribosomal RNA", at positions 27 to 507 of the family's 1533-position model. The record is from RNAcentral.
GAGCGACCGCUGGCGGCAGGCUUAACACAUGCAAGUCGAGCGCCCCGCAAGGGGAGCGGCAGACGGGCGAGUAACACGUGGGAACAUACCUUUUGGUUCGGAACAACUGAGGGAAACUUCAGCUAAUACCGGAUAAGCCCUUACGGGGAAAGAUUUAUCGCCGAAAGAUUGGCCCGCGUCUGAUUAGCUAGUUGGUGAGGUAACGGCUCACCAAGGCGACGAUCAGUAGCUGGUCUGAGAGGAUGAUCAGCCUCACUGGGACUGAGACACGGCCCAGACUCCUACGGGAUGCAGCAGUGGGGAAUAUUGGACAAUGGGGGCAACCCUGAUCCAGCCAUGCCGCGUGAGUGAUGAAGGCCUUAGGGUUGUAAAGCUCUUUUGCCCGGGAAGAUAAUGACGGUACCGGGAGAAUAAGCCCCGGCUAACUUCGUG